Molecule: long non-coding RNA, 533 nt
Filed under: Setaria italica (foxtail millet)
Lineage: Eukaryota; Viridiplantae; Streptophyta; Magnoliopsida; Poales; Poaceae
Description: long non-coding RNA (SITA_LNC001025)
Source: RNAcentral
UCAGACUAUAUUUCAUCAAAUGGGAAAAAAUCAUUUUCAAGCAUAGUGUUCUCUCGCAUCUAAUGGAAAAGAAAAUCCAGGUUAUACCCUUAGAUAAAUACACGGCCUCGAAAUAAAAUAAAUAGCAACACUCCAUGGCAGUUACAGGUAAGAAAAAUAGAUGUAAGUUUUUUAAACAAUUGAUUACUGAAUAUCCCCUGAAGAAAAAAAGAAAACAUACUUUGAUUGCUCUUAAUCCUCGUCUCCUGCCCAGGCUUUGCUUUUCAUGCUUUAGUUAUUGCACCCUGACCAGCACACAAACCUUAGCUUGAUAAAAGUAAUCUAGCAAAGAAGGCACCAAUCAAUCAAAUGUGUACCUAGUAGGCAGCUCAACUUUCUAGUAGUACUCAAUUCCCCAUUUCUGCUCAACAGUAAGAACAUAAUGGCGCUGAGAGAGAUGAGGAAGGGGCUAGUGCGGAGAGGCCCCAUCAUCGAGCUACAGCAGCCACCGCUUCCUCCUUGUCCCAUGGCCUGCCGCUGUCAACAAGACGCAG